This 415-nucleotide ribosomal RNA is filed under the name uncultured bacterium. RNAcentral describes it as "bacterial SSU rRNA". It matches the Rfam family "Bacterial small subunit ribosomal RNA", at positions 60 to 486 of the family's 1533-position model. The record is from RNAcentral.
AGUCGAACGGACUUACAUUGAAGCCUAGCGAUAUGUAAGUUAGUGGCGGACGGGUGAGUAACGCGUGGGUAACCUGCCUUGUACUGGGGGACAACAGUUGGAAACGACUGCUAAUACCGCAUAAGCGCACAGCUUCGCAUGAAGCAGUGUGAAAAACUCCGGUGGUACAAGAUGGACCCGCGUCUGAUUAGCUGGUUGGUGAGGUAACGGCCCACCAAGGCGACGAUCAGUAGCCGGCCUGAGAGGGUGAACGGCCACAUUGGGACUGAGACACGGCCCAAACUCCUACGGGAGGCAGCAGUGGGGAAUAUUGCACAAUGGGGGAAACCCUGAUGCAGCAACGCCGCGUGAGUGAAGAAGUAUUUCGGUAUGUAAAGCUCUAUCAGCAGGAAAGAAAAUGACGGUACCUGACUAA